GUUCUGGUAGCCUAAGCUUAAGGCAUUGGUCUUGUAAACCAAAGAUUGAGGGUGAAAUUCCCUCCCAAAACA
RNAcentral lists this transfer RNA (72 nucleotides) under Rhina ancylostomus. Its description in RNAcentral is "tRNA-Thr". It matches the Rfam family "tRNA". Rfam says of the family: Transfer RNA (tRNA) molecules are approximately 80 nucleotides in length. Their secondary structure includes four short double-helical elements and three loops (D, anti-codon, and T loops). The record is from RNAcentral. Lineage: Eukaryota; Metazoa; Chordata; Chondrichthyes; Rhinopristiformes; Rhinidae.